AGCGGCGGACGGGUGAGUAACGCGUGAGUAACCUGCCUCAUACAGGGGGAUAACAGUUGGAAACGGCUGCUAAUACCGCAUAAGCGCACAGUACCGCAUGGUACGGUGUGAAAAACUCCGGUGGUAUGAGAUGGACCCGCGUCUGAUUAGGUAGUUGGUGGGGUAACGGCCUACCAAGCCGACGAUCAGUAGCCGACCUGAGAGGGUGACCGGCCACAUUGGGACUGAGACACGGCCCAA
This 240-nucleotide ribosomal RNA is filed under the name uncultured bacterium. Its description in RNAcentral is "partial 16S ribosomal RNA". It matches the Rfam family "Bacterial small subunit ribosomal RNA", at positions 94 to 334 of the family's 1533-position model. The record is from RNAcentral.